GGCGGGAUCACCCGCUGAGUUUAAGCAUAUCAAUAAGC
Molecule: ribosomal RNA, 38 nt
Filed under: Solandra maxima
Lineage: Eukaryota; Viridiplantae; Streptophyta; Magnoliopsida; Solanales; Solanaceae
Description: partial 26S ribosomal RNA
Source: RNAcentral